ACGGGAGGCAGCAGUAGGGAAUUUUCGGCAAUGGGGGAAACCCUGACCGAGCAAUACCGCGUGAAUGAUGAAAUUCUUCGGAAUGUAAAGUUCUGUUAUAAGGAACGAAAGGUAUGAUUAGGAAAUGAGUUAUAUUUGACGGUACCUUAUUAGAAAGCCCCGGCUAACUAUGUGCCAGCAGCCGCGGUAAUACAUAGGGGGCAAGCGUUAUCCGGAUUUAUUGGGCGUAAAGAGUGCGUAGGUGGCUAAUUAAGUCUGUCGUGAAAGCCCACAGCUUAACUGUGGAGGGUCGAUGGAAACUGGUUAGCUUGAGUCCAGAAGAGGUAAGUGGAAUUCCAUGUGUAGCGGUAAAAUGCUCAGAUAUAUGGAGGAACACCAGUGGCGAAGGCGGCUUACUGGUCUGGAACUGACACUGAGGCACGAAAGCGUGGGGAGCAAACAGGAUUAGAUACCCUGGUA
Molecule: ribosomal RNA, 459 nt
Filed under: uncultured Turicibacter sp.
Lineage: Bacteria; Bacillati; Bacillota; Erysipelotrichia; Erysipelotrichales; Turicibacteraceae
Description: partial 16S ribosomal RNA
Rfam family: Bacterial small subunit ribosomal RNA
Source: RNAcentral